GUUUGAUCCUGGCUCAGGACGAACGCUGGCGGCAUGCCUCACACAUGCAAGUCGAACGAUCCACCUCAACCUAGUUGAGAAUUGGAUAGUGGCGGACGGGUGAGUAACACGUGGGCAACCUGCCCUAUAGACCGGGAUACCAUUGGGAAACCGAUGUUAAUACCGGAUACCUUAUCUAUAUCACCUGAUAAAGAUAAGAAAGAUUUAUCGCUAUAGGAUGGGCCCGCGCUUCAUUAGCUAGUUGGUAGGGUAACGGCCUACCAAGGCGACGAUGGAUAGCUGGUCUGAGAGGGCGAUCAGCCACACUGGGACUGAGACACGGCCCAGACUCCUACGGGAGGCAGCAGUGGGGGAUAUUGCGCAAUGGGGGCAACCCUGACGCAGCAAUGCCGCGUGAAGGAUGAAGGUCUUCGGAUCGUAAACUUCUGUUAAGAGGGAUGAAUAAUGACAGUACCUCUAGAGGAAGCUCCGGCUAACUACGUGCCAGCAGCCGCGGUAACACGUAGGGAGCGAGCGUUGUCCGGAAUUACUGGGCGUAAAGAGCAUGUAGGUGGUUUAGUAAGUCAGGUGUUAAACUCCAGGGCUCAACCCUGGAUUGCACAUGAAACUGCUGAACUUGAGGACAGGAGAGGAAAGUGGAAUUCCUAGUGUAGCGGUGAAAUGCGUAGAUAUUAGGAGGAACACCAGUGGCGAAGGCGACUUUCUGGACUGUACCUGACACUGAGAUGCGAAAGCGUGGGGAGCGAACAGGAUUAGAUACCCUGGUAGUCCACGCCGUAAACGCUGGGCACUAGGUGUAGGGGGUUUAGAUACCCUCUGUGCCGCAGUUAACGCACUAAGUGCCCCGCCUGGGGAGUACGACCGCAAGGUUGAAACUCAAAGGAAUUGACGGGAGCCCGCACAAGCAGCGGAGCAUGUGGUUUAAUUCGAAGCAACGCGAAGAACCUUACCAGGGCUUGACAUCCUCUGAAGCUUUUAGAGAUAAAAGUGUCCUCUUUUGAGGCAGAGAGACAGGUGGUGCAUGGUUGUCGACAGCUCGUGUCGUGAGAUGUUGGGUUAAGUCCCGUAACGAGCGCAACCCUUAUUCUUAGUUGCCAGCAAGUCGAGUUGGGCACUCUAAGGAGACUGCCGGUGAUAAACCGGAGGAAGGCGGGGAUGACGUCAAAUCAUCAUGCCCCUUAUGUCCUGGGCUACACACGUGCUACAAUGGCCUGAACAACGGGGAGCGAAGGAGCGAUCUGGAGCGAAUCCUUUAAAUCAGGUCUCAGUUCGGAUUGCAGGCUGCAACUCGCCUGCAUGAAGUCGGAGUUGCUAGUAAUCGCGAAUCAGCAUGUCGCGGUGAAUGCGUUCCCGGGCUUUGUACACACCGCCCGUCACACCACGAAAGUUUGCAACACCCGAAGCCGGUGAGUUAACCUUUUUAGGGAACAGCCGUCGAAGGUGGGGCGAAUGAUUGGGGUGAAGUCGUAACAAGGUAGCCGUA
Molecule: ribosomal RNA, 1483 nt
Filed under: uncultured prokaryote
Description: bacterial SSU rRNA
Rfam family: Bacterial small subunit ribosomal RNA
Source: RNAcentral